This 170-nucleotide unclassified non-coding RNA is filed under the name uncultured Thielavia. Its description in RNAcentral is "sequence contains ITS1". The record is from RNAcentral. Lineage: Eukaryota; Fungi; Ascomycota; Sordariomycetes; Sordariales; Chaetomiaceae.
CAGAGUUGCAAAACUCCCUAAACCAUCGUGAACGUUACCCCACAAUCGUUGCUUCGGCGGGCGGCGCCUCACCCGGCGCCCCCUGCCAGGGGCCCUAACGGGCGUCCGCCGGAGGCCUAUAACCCUUGUAUUAUUUUACGGCUUCUCUGAGUUUAUACUUAAAUAAGUCA